GUCAUUUUUAAAAUUCAGAGACAUUAGAGGUUAUUUUAAAAACUGCCUGUGUGCCCACGUGCAUAUGGUGAACAGACCAAAGGGCGCGGAGUAUGAAAACCUCCACAGGAUAAAAUGCUGUUUGUUUAAUCCCACUGGAAGAUCUGAUUGCCACUGGCAAGAGUUCACGUAUUUGCCUGACUUCUCACUGUAAACACAAUGGCAGAAACAUCAGAGGCCCCUGGACUGGGGAUGUUUAUAUGAGCAGAGAGCCUGGAGAUGGAACAGAGAUAUGAGUGCUGAUCUGUGAAAGGAACCACCGCUGUAUCGCUGCUGCUCGCCAUCACACACAAACACCAUCUGGAUGCCUCUCACCAGACGGAGAAGACCUCACACCUGCACACCCGACAGAAACAGAAACACACACACACACACACACACACACACACACACACACACACACACACACACACACACACACACACACACACACACACACACACACACACACACACACACACACACAAACACUGAUAUUUAUGUGAAUUUCUUUGAGUUUGUUAGAUGCUCCCAAAGUCAUGAUGAAAUAAAAAAAAAAAAAAAAAAGAAGUGGAGGAAAGUUUACAAAAGACAAAACUACCACAUGCUCACAUUCGAAACUAUUAAUGAACACACUGAGAACUGUUCUUUCACUAAUUCUCUCUUUUUGGUGUCUACAGAUCAAAUUCUACUGACUCCAGUUGUCUUCUAAUCUUUCAUUCUUUUCACGCUCCUUGACUUUCUUCGCCUCUGAGUUUUGAAUUUUUAAAAGCUCUUUACAACGCAGCCGAGCAUGAAAACGGAGAAAGGACGACUUGGAGAAAAUUUGUUAACUGGCAGAAGAGUAAACAAUGGGCCGCUGAAAAAGACUGUCGGGAGGAAGGGUUUUCCUCUCAGAGGUCAGGGGGCAGCUGGUUCAUUGACACUGGCUCAGACAGUUGACAUUUGAGAUACAUUUUGGAUCACUGCAAAGAGCGUGUUGUUUUUCAUAUGUACGAUUGUUGUAUUUGUGUUGACAUUGACGUGUUAUGUAUUUUUGCAGA
Seriola aureovittata is the source of this 1061-nucleotide long non-coding RNA. RefSeq lists it as uncharacterized. The transcript has 3 exons. The record is from RefSeq and is a predicted model, not a curated record. Lineage: Eukaryota; Metazoa; Chordata; Actinopteri; Carangiformes; Carangidae.